GGGCGGUUAGCUCAGCGGGAGAGCGCUGCGUUGACAUCGCAGAGGUCACUGGUUCAAUCCCAGUACCGCCCACCA
This 75-nucleotide transfer RNA is filed under the name Rhodospirillaceae bacterium. RNAcentral's name for it is "tRNA-Val". It matches the Rfam family "tRNA". From Rfam's summary of the family: Transfer RNA (tRNA) molecules are approximately 80 nucleotides in length. Their secondary structure includes four short double-helical elements and three loops (D, anti-codon, and T loops). The record is from RNAcentral. Lineage: Bacteria; Pseudomonadati; Pseudomonadota; Alphaproteobacteria; Rhodospirillales; Rhodospirillaceae.